Molecule: long non-coding RNA, 1297 nt
Organism: Pelmatolapia mariae (spotted tilapia)
Lineage: Eukaryota; Metazoa; Chordata; Actinopteri; Cichliformes; Cichlidae
Exons: 5
Source: RefSeq, a predicted model, not a curated record
AAGAAGCCUGGUGGAUAUUUGUUUGCAGUCUGAUGAUGGGACAUCAUGCUCUGCAUCUUCAAAGUUUGUCUCUUGAUUAUUAUUCAUACACAGUAAUGUGAAUUAUGCUUAUAUCUAGUAUAACUGGACCAACCUGGUGCUCUUCAUUUAUGGAGGCUGUUGAGUCUGAAUGUUGGAUGUUGUGUAUCUCUUGUUCUCUGGGCUUUGUUGUCCUCAGUCUUUUUGCAGGAUCAGAAAACAAAACCAGGAUGACCGUAAAUGUUUCUUCUCCAAUUGGAUGAUGAUAAGACCGUGACACGGUAUGCCACCUUUAGUCUUGUGAUGAAGCAAAGCUCAGGACGAAGUAUGAUUAAAUGGUACCCACAUGUGUGCUGCUGAGAAGGAUGUACAAGGGCACCUGCAGCCAAAUCCAAGCCUCCUCAGAGCAGAGCGGCAGUUUGUGCUCACAGAUGGAGACGGUGUGGAGAGACGGUGGUGUUUCCUCUGAAGAACUAGCAGAGUCACCAAGGGCACGAGUCCAUCUCACCACCUUGACUUGCUGACUGAUGCUCGUCUGCACUGCACAGAGGAAAUCAACUGACCGAGGAGUGUUUCUGGGUGAGGGAGAGAGGAGUCAUCAUCCAGGUAAAGUGACGUGGAUCAGUGGACACACUUGUCUCCCCUUUAAAGGAAAUACUCUUAGAGAGAGACGAUCCGAGUCAUCCCUAAAUAUGGGCAGGAUGUCAGUCUUGGACUGUCUAACCUGGCGGAGCAGCACUGAAUGACCACCACACAUGAGCAUGUUCCUGCAACAUUCAGCAGCUUUGCUUUUGUGUCAAAUGUCAAACAGCUGGAGAGGAAACUAAACCAGUACUGGGAUGUUUCACCAACACGUGCCAGAUGCUGUUCCUUCAUGGUGACAUCACCAGAGACAGCCCCGCCCACCUCAGGACCUCGCCAUUGAUCAUGAUGAUUAUAAUCGGAACUAAGACUGUACAAAUCCACGACCAGAAUGUUUAGAUGCUUUCUAAUUAUUAAUGAAUACUGAGAGCCUCUUUCUGUGUUUUGUCUGUUUUGGGGUUUUUUUUUACCUCAUUUGUUACUAACAACGUUCACCAAACUCACACAGUUUACAUUCUGUAUGUUUCCAUCUUUACCAGCCACACUCUGCCUGCAUUUAGAAAACAAACCUUAGAAAUCGUCGUUUUUCUCUUUUGUAAUUUUGUAAUUCAGUGAAUAUACUGCGCUGCUUCCUUUUAUUGCAUCACACAUUGCUUUAAGUUUUUCAGUGUCCAGUUACUUUUUACUGCUGUUUGAA